UUACAAAGCGCGAUGGGAUUACAAAGCGCGAUGGGAUUACAAAGUGCGAUGGGAUUACAAAGUGCGAUGGGAUUACAAAGCGCGAUGGGAUUACAAAGCGCGAUGGGAUUACAAAGUGCGAUGGGAUUACAAAGUGCGAUGGGAUUACAAAGCGCGAUGGGAUUACAAAGCGCGAUGGGAUUACAAAGUGCGCCAGGAUUACAAAGUGCGAUGGACUUACAAAGUGCGACGGGAUUACAAAGUGCGAUGGGAUUACAAAGUGCGAUGGGAUUACAAAGUGCGAUGGGAUUACAAAGUGCGAUGGGAUUACAAAGUGCGAUGGGAUUACAAAAUGAUACUCUACAUGCCUGACCAUAGGUUCUAGAUUACAGAAAAAAAUAGAAUUUUAAUGUUUUGAGUUGUCAAUUUCAUUGAACUAACAGUGAAUUCACACCUUUAAAAAGUUGUAUUUUUAUUGACGUCAGCUUGAAGUAUUUUUUAACAGACGGAAACAAAUACGAUUUUAAAUUAAAAAUUAGUUUAUUUAAGAAUUUUUGCUUGCCGUGAACUAUUAAAACGCUAUACUUUUAAACAUUGUUUUUAUAAGGUGAAAACUAUGAAAUGUAUAAAUUGUCCUUCCACUCUUUUUUAUUUGCUUUAUAACCAAAAAGCUUUAUAACCAAAAAGUGACUUUUGUCCUUUUUUUAAACCGCUACAGUAUUGCGCUUAGUUACUUAGUUUCCAAUUAUAAGAAGUAAAAAUGGCGGUCGUUACGAUUAUACUUUUGUUGGUCAGUAAAGAUGUUUUGGUUAGUCCAGUUUCUAGUUUUAAAUCUAUUUUUUUUGACAGGUACUCAAGCAGAAGAUAUAAGAUACUAUUAACAGUUGCGCAACAUAUUUGUUUGAUUGUGUUGGUUUCCUCUUGAAACUCAAUUUAAUACUUGGAUUAAGUCGAGUAAAUAAAUAAAUAAAGUUGAAUACGAGACAACGCAAUUGAUGAUGUUACAUGUUUCCGUUUCAUCAUCUGAAAGUCAUUGUUUUUACGUACGCGUCAUUCCACUUGUCCAACAUUUUGGACAGCUAAAAUAAUAUUUGAAUAUAUCACAUUUGUAGAAGUGGAAAUCAGAGAGGCUCUGUUCAUUAGGGAGCAGGCACAUCUUAGGAGAAUGGAGUAGUUUUUUCAGAUUUUGAUUAAAGUAUCUUCACAAGUUUAGGGAACCUUUAAAACUUUCUGAUAUGGAUAGUUAAAGCCUCCUUUGUUCCUAUGGUUAAAAGGACAAGGUUUUUUUUAUCAUAAGCUAUAAAGAUUUGACUGUACCAGUCUGGCGUGGUGAAACUCUUACACAGUUAAAGCCUCGUUUCCGUGAUUUUUGGGCAUUGAAAAGAGAACAUCAUAACAAGAAGAUUUGCUGUAAUAGGAAGAUGCUUUAUCCAAAAUGCAAUUCUGUGGUUUAAAAUUAACUCUUAUUUAAAAUACUUCGGCAUUAAAUAUGGCUUCCUUUAGUCGCACUUAUUACCCAGAUCCCCGAUUUACCCAGAUUUUAUUGCGGAAGUAGAUAUUUGGGUAAAACAGGAAAGAAAUGUUGAAUGAUGAUGUGUUUUUUUGGAAGAAAUUUAUUUACAUUUUUUACAAAACCAUUUCCUUCGUGACAAAGCUUGGACAUUCGCAAUGUUUGCACAUUUAUCGUGAAACCACUCCAUGCACUUUGAACAUUCCACCAUUAAAUUGAACUAUCUGAUACAAAAACGUAGCCAUAGACACAAAUCAUUGUGCUUACAUGCCAGACUACAUGAUUUCUGUGAUCAUCUUUUUCAGGAAAUCUAACAUACAAACAUCUUCUCAUUUUCACAGCUGCUUUGUUAAUAUCCCAUUGCGUUUUCAACUUUUGAGUGACAGUUCGUUUUUUUAUUUUCUGUGUUUCCACUAGCCUGUAAUAAAAAUUAGAUAGAUGAGCAGAAAAUGGUCAGACUAAAACGGCAAAACGAGUAAUGGAAAAAUAAAUGCGCUUACUUUGAAGUCUGGGAAAAAGGCGAUGUCACGAAUUAUGAUUUUUGCUGGACAACCAAAUUUUUUUGAAUUUUGAACCAUAAGCCGAGCCUUACUGUAUACCUUGCGAUGUGUUUGAGAAUCCUAUAGAUAAGAAAAGGUUAUUAUUUUUCCUUUCUUUUUCCUAUUCAGAUUUUAAAGCAAAGGUAAAACAUUUUUUUUUUGAUAUGCCAGGAUCUACGCCGUGCGUGCAAUCUAGCGACUUUUUUCCAACAAGGUGACUCCUUGUUCCUGAUAUCUUCGAAGAGAAUCUUGUGAUUUUUAAAUUAAUAUCUAAAAAAUUAAGUUGGUAACACACACAAAGAUUUUCUUUUUUAAAGAAGACUACUGCUUUUUGUUUCUCUUGGUCAAAAGAUCAAUUUUUUUUGUUAUAACUUAAAACUCACCAGCAACUCCGAAUGAUAUAUUUUUUUGAUAAACAGAGAAAUGGGAUAAUGAUUUUAUCUCGAGAAUUCUAACUGCUACAUCGACAUCUUCCAUGGAUUCGAAUAUAUAUUUCUGUUUUUCUUUACAAUCUACAAAGUAUCCGGUGGAAAAAAUUUUCGAUUUUAAUAUAUUUCUACCUUUUAUUUUUCUAAAGGACACCAACGCUGUGUAACUAACCUUGAGAACUGUCGCUGCUAAACACGAGAGAAGAAACGUACCUGUGCAUCGAAAUAUUUGUUUACAUCACGAGUGUUUUUGAUAUUGACAUGCUUAACCCUACUUCAGAAAGGGAUACAAAAGCAUCUAUCUCUUUAAUAAUAGCUGUAUUCCGUCUGUCUGUUUGUGUGUAAAAAAUCAUUGUGCUACAGAAACACGAAGUAUGCAGUAUGUAAAGGACGGGCGGCUCCGUGUUCUUUCUUUUCGUUUGCACGCGAACAAACAUUGUGCUACGAAAACACGAAAUAUGCGAUAUAUAAAGGACGGGCGACCCCGACCCCGUGUAUUUUUUCACGGGUCGAAAACUAGUUUUAUAAGUCACUGUCAGUCACUGUGAAAAGAUUCUAACACGGUUUCCUCUUAAAAAAUUUUAACUCGACUUUUUGUUGGAUUGGAUACUUGUGUAUAAGUUUAAAUGAAAAAUGAAAUUUGAAGCUGCCACUUAACCUUUUCAAAAUUCGAAAAUCGUGAUGUCGUGACGAUCUUAAAAUUUUUAAAACGAUAUCUUUAUAAUUUUCAGCAUUUCACAAUAUUGUUCUCACGAUCGACUAGAGCCUACAUACGUUAAGGAAAAGUUUGUAACAAGUAGAAAAAAUAACCUAGGAACCUGGUUAAACAAGACACAUAAAGGCAACCACGACACUGACCUGUAUUUUCAUAAAAAUACAUAUUAUUUAUAUACAAUUUGUUUGUUGUUGCUAUUGUUGCUACUAGUCUGCGUGUGCGCAACAGUAGGAAAUGAUUCAUAAUCCACUUUGCUGUGCCAAACCCAUCAUCUACUGUAACGUGAUAGAAGAAAAUAUAACCAAGAAAACUGAUACAAUAACAUUCUAUUUGUAGCAUACAUAAACACAUUCUGCAAUCAGUGAUUUAUCUUGUCAAAACAAAAAUUGUAAGAUGACGUUUGUUCCGCUUUUAGUCGUAUUAUGUUCAUCAUCAUGUUCAAGCAUUAGUAUCCCAAAAUCUUCGAAAUAUGUUUUUAUGAAAAACAGCUCAACUUCGUGGUUGUCUUCACGUGACCUUGUGGUUAUGGAGUUCGCUUCGUAAUUACAAAGUCCGUGGUUUGGUCCACAGCGUGGAGAUGUUUAGCAAGUGUUUUUAGCACAGCUACAGGUCAACCCAUGCUAUGUGAAGGAAAUUGGGUAGGUAAUGCAGGUGUGUACUUAAUGUAUGCAUUCCGAAAACAGGACCAACAUUGAUAACAGUGUUUCUAGCACUGAAGUGGCUCUAUCCUGUAUAAAUAUUCGUAAUAAUAAUGAUAAUAAUCAUGUUCAUCAUUACGUUUAUCAGAUUAUCUUUAUAGCUACCUUCUGCUUGUUUAAAAUAGGUGCACUCACAUUACUGCUAGCUACUGUAAUGAUCAGUCACAAGCAAACAAUUCUUUACAAACGGCUUACAAAUUCACACUACCACAUGACGAAAGAUAACUUUAAUUGGGGAGCAAGAGACAAAAUGUUCUACCGUUAGGUGUUCGGUCUGUAAUACGGGUUUCUCGUAUUCUCUGACUCGUUUUCAAGUCACCUUAGAACCGAGGCUUGGAAUGGUAGAAUAUGGUCAAAAUGCCUACGGAAAGUGGAAGAAGCAGUGCUGUGAGUAAACAAGAGUUGUUGGAACUGUUAUUAAGAGAUACUGAUUUACCAAUUGCAAUUAUUAACAAGUCAAAAAAACAAGUUGGUAAAUUAGAUACUUGGGGAAAGUCUUUGUCUCUUCUUCCUGCGAUCACAAUAAAAGAAAUUGAAGAAUAUCGUUUAAGGAGUGGAAAAACGCCAGAAAGUUCUAUAAUAAAAACUCUUGAUCGUGGGAAAAAGUUUAAAAAUAAAAGAUAUUUAACUUCAGAUUCAGUGAGUACAAAAUGGGAUGAACAAUGCUUUUAUUUAAAAUGCCAGUGUAAGGCAAAUAUGAAGAAAGAAAAACGAGAUGUGUCUUUUAGCACUGUGUAGAGAUAAAGAUACACCGCAAGAUAGCUUGAAUUUAAUGCAAGCUAAGUUGCAGGAGAGGGACAAAAAAAAAUGGAUUUGCUUGUUGUGUACCGCCUGUUGGAUUGAACCAAGAACAAUAUAUACAAAAUUUGGUCAAUUUGUUGUUAGUUCACCUCUUUCUUUUCACCUGAAUCCAGUUAAUUUUACAACGAAAGUUGAAGCAAACAUAAAUAAAAUAAAAAAUCCGUUAUAUAGCGAGCAUGAUUACACUGAACUACCCUUAUUGUUUAUAAAAAAUGAAAAUGAGCUAGCAUCAAAAGAUUGGGUCAAUACUCCUACAGAACAGAACUAUUUAAAUUCCAUUAAAAUAUCAGGAGAAAAGUGCAGAUUGUUAGAAGCAUACAGUUUCACAAAGUAAAGAUGAGCUGUGGAAUACUUAAAUCUUUCAAAUUUUAAAUACAAUAUUAAUAUUUUCUUAUUGUUAAAUUGCUGUAUAGUUUAACAGAAGGGAAUGCUGUUUUCAAAACGCGCUAAUUUUCUCAGCAAUCAAAAUAUUUUAAACGCUAAUAUGGUUGUUUGUAAAUUUCAAACCAAAUAUUUGUUCACGUUCUUUGGCCACAUGUAAAGUAUAAUAAACAUAUUAUAAGAUUUUGAGCAACGUAUACCAAGCAUACACAGGAGCAUCACAAAAGAUGCAAGCUUAUACUGUUUUGUGAAUCCAGCAUCUGAAAUAUAGAAGU
Molecule: long non-coding RNA, 5326 nt
Organism: Hydractinia symbiolongicarpus
Lineage: Eukaryota; Metazoa; Cnidaria; Hydrozoa; Anthoathecata; Hydractiniidae
Exons: 3
Source: RefSeq, a predicted model, not a curated record